ACUACUCUAGGCGGUGGAUCACUCGGCUCGUGUGU
This 35-nucleotide ribosomal RNA is filed under the name Pinna bicolor. RNAcentral describes it as "partial 5.8S rRNA". Lineage: Eukaryota; Metazoa; Mollusca; Bivalvia; Pterioida; Pinnidae. RNAcentral also lists the same sequence under 3 other names. The record is from RNAcentral.